Molecule: long non-coding RNA, 291 nt
Filed under: Phasianus colchicus (ring-necked pheasant)
Lineage: Eukaryota; Metazoa; Chordata; Aves; Galliformes; Phasianidae
Description: lncRNA (ENSPCLG00000013795.1)
Source: RNAcentral
ACCUGUGAGGCCAGAUGGGAGUGGGGCAUGCGAUGGGGGAGACCACGGGGGGGGCGAUGGGAGAAAGCCUGGGGGCUGAGGGGGCGAUGGGAGAGACCCCCAGAGAUGGGGUGCGCAAUGGAAGAGCUGUGUGGGGGCUGGGGUGGCAACGGGAGCGAAGUGUGGAGGUGGGAAGGGCGAUGGGAGAGAGCCUGGGAACGGGGUAAGGAAUGGGAGAGAGGCUGGGGGAAAAGGGGGGGAUUGGUGGGGAUGGGGGAGACCCCCAGGCAUUGGGAGGGAGCCCAGGAAUGG